UCCUAGACUCCUACGGGAGGCAGCAGUGGGGAAUAUUGCACAAUGGGGGAAACCCUGAUGCAGCGACGCCGCGUGAGCGAUGAAGUAUUUCGGUAUGUAAAGCUCUAUCAGCAGGGAAGAAAAUGACGGUACCUGAGUAAGAAGCCCCGGCUAACUACGUGCCAGCAGCCGCGGUAAUACGUAGGGGGCAAGCGUUAUCCGGAUUUACUGGGUGUAAAGGGAGCGUAGACGGCAGUGCAAGUCUGGAGUGAAAGGCGGGGGCUCAACCCCCGGACUGCUCUGGAAACUGUACGGCUGGAGUGCAGGAGAGGUAAGUGGAAUUCCUAGUGUAGCGGUGAAAUGCGUAGAUAUUAGGAGGAACACCAGUGGCGAAGGCGGCUUACUGGACUGUAACUGACGUUGAGGCUCGAAAGCGUGGAGAGCAAACAGGAUUAGAUACCCGCGUAC
RNAcentral lists this ribosomal RNA (447 nucleotides) under uncultured bacterium. RNAcentral's name for it is "bacterial SSU rRNA". It matches the Rfam family "Bacterial small subunit ribosomal RNA", at positions 329 to 793 of the family's 1533-position model. The record is from RNAcentral.